RNAcentral lists this ribosomal RNA (623 nucleotides) under uncultured bacterium. RNAcentral's name for it is "bacterial SSU rRNA". The stretch from base 1 to 518 matches the Rfam family "Bacterial small subunit ribosomal RNA", at positions 338 to 873 of the family's 1533-position model. The record is from RNAcentral.
CCUACUGGAGGCAGCAGUGGGGAAUAUUGGACAAUGGGCGAAAGCCUGAUCCAGCAAUGCCGCGUGAGUGAAGAAGGCCUUCGGGUUGUAAAGCUCUUUUACCCGGGAAGAUAAUGACUGUACCGGGAGAAUAAGCUCCGGCUAACUCCGUGCCAGCAGCCGCGGUAAUACGGAGGGAGCUAGCGUUGUUCGGAAUUACUGGGCGUAAAGCGUACGUAGGCGGCUUGGUAAGUCAGAGGUGAAAGCCCACGACUCAAUCGUGGAACUGCCUUUGAGACUGCUUCGCUUGAAGAUGGGAGAGGUUAGUGGAAUUCCGAGUGUAGAGGUGAAAUUCGUAGAUAUUCGGAAGAACACCAGUGGCGAAGGCGGCUAACUGGACCAUUCUUGACGCUGAGGUACGAAAGCGUGGGGAGCAAACAGGAUUAGAUACCCUGGUAGUCCACGCCGUAAACGAUGAUAACUAGCUGUCGGGGCUCUUGGAGCUUCGGUGGCGCNGCUACGCAUUAAGUUAUACCGUCCGUCGGGUAGGUACGGUCCGGCCGAACGGUUAAACCGUAACCGAAAGGAAAGUUAGGUACGGCGUGGUAGACGUUGCCGAACGGACGACGACGAGGGAGGUUAGG